Macaca mulatta (Rhesus monkey) is the source of this 463-nucleotide non-coding RNA. NCBI's taxonomy places the organism in Eukaryota, Metazoa, Chordata, Mammalia, Primates, Cercopithecidae. The record is from RefSeq and is a predicted model, not a curated record.
CAGGACAUCCACAGACCAGUCACCCCUUCCAGCCAUAAAGGUUGACGGAAUCUCCACUUGGAUCCACGCAUCCCACGCCAAGGCUGCUCCAGAGACGCCCGGACCAACUCCACCUAAGACAUGGAGACUCCGACGCUCCGAGGACCCGCUCAAGAUAAGACUCUCUCGUAUCUAGCCCCUUGCUUAUUACUAGCCCUCCUUCCCUGUGUCGCUGACAGUAAUAACCCCCACCGGCCAUAUAACCUGACCUGGCAGGUAAUUGAUUUUAGUACUCAUGAGGUCUUAGAUAAAACCUCAAAAAUUGCUCCUAUGGGGACUUGGUUCCCUGACCUCUAUUUCAACCUAGACAAAAUAGCAAAGAUAGAUGACAUGGAAGGGGGAGAAUGGAGAAAACAGGCUAGAAGGGUGUCCGUAAGCCGGAACGGGUUCUAUGCCUGUCCCGGAUUCAGGACAGGAGAAAUGA